GGGGGGGCGAGGGGGGGCUGAAAGGUUCCUUAGGAUCUAUAGGAACACCGCACACAAAGGCUGUAGUAAGUGCACAUGCAUACUGUGGUCAACAGCCCCACAGACAGAGUGGUGCAAAUCUGGUGGAAAUG
Molecule: small nuclear RNA, 131 nt
Filed under: Eutreptiella gymnastica
Lineage: Eukaryota; Euglenozoa; Euglenophyceae; Eutreptiales; Eutreptiaceae
Description: partial Dictyostelium signal recognition particle
Source: RNAcentral